Molecule: ribosomal RNA, 1405 nt
Filed under: uncultured bacterium
Lineage: Bacteria
Description: bacterial SSU rRNA
Rfam family: Bacterial small subunit ribosomal RNA
Source: RNAcentral
AGAGUUUGAUCCUGGCUCAGGAUGAACGCUAGCGACAGGCUUAACACAUGCAAGUCGAGGGGCAGCGGGGGAGUAGCAAUACUCCCGCCGGCGACCGGCGCACGGGUGAGUAACACGUAUGAAACCUGCCCGUAGCAGGGGGAUAAGCGGAAGAAAUUCCGUCUAAUACCGCGUAACAACCCUUGGAGGCAUCUCCUCGGGUUUAAAGGAAGCGAUUCCGGCUACGGAUGGUCAUGCGUCGCAUUAGCUAGUUGGCGGGGUAACGGCCCACCAAGGCGACGAUGCGUAGGGGUUCUGAGAGGAAGGUCCCCCACACUGGUACUGAGACACGGACCAGACUCCUACGGGAGGCAGCAGUGAGGAAUAUUGGUCAAUGGCCGCAGGGCUGAACCAGCCAAGUCGCGUGAGGGAUGACGGUCCUAUGGAUUGUAAACCUCUUUUGUCAGGGAGCAAAGGGCGUCACGUGUGGCGUUUUGCGAGUACCUGAAGAAAAAGCAUCGGCUAACUCCGUGCCGGCAGCCGCGGUAAUACGGAGGAUGCGAGCGUUAUCCGGAUUUAUUGGGUUUAAAGGGUGCGCAGGCGGAAUGUCAAGUCAGCGGUAAAAUUUCGGGGCUCAACCCCGUCGUGCCGUUGAAACUGGCGUUCUUGAGUGAGCGAGAAGUAUGCGGAAUGCGUGGUGUAGCGGUGAAAUGCAUAGAUAUCACGCAGAACUCCGAUUGCGAAGGCAGCAUACCGGCGCUCAACUGACGCUCAUGCACGAAAGCGUGGGUAUCGAACAGGAUUAGAUACCCUGGUAGUCCACGCAGUAAACGAUGAAUACUAACUGUCCGGGCAGAAUGAUGUCUGGGUGGUACAGCGAAAGCGUUAAGUAUUCCACCUGGGGAGUACGCCGGCAACGGUGAAACUCAAAGGAAUUGACGGGGGCCCGCACAAGCGGAGGAACAUGUGGUUUAAUUCGAUGAUACGCGAGGAACCUUACCCGGGCUCAAACGACUCAGGAAUAUAUUGGAAACGAUGUAGCCAGCAAUGGUCUGAGUCGAGGUGCUGCAUGGUUGUCGUCAGCUCGUGCCGUGAGGUGUCGGCUUAAGUGCCAUAACGAGCGCAACCCCUACCGCCAGUUGCCAACGGGUAAAGCCGGGAACUCUGGCGGGACUGCCGGCGCAAGCUGCGAGGAAGGCGGGGAUGACGUCAAAUCAGCACGGCCCUUACGUCCGGGGCGACACACGUGUUACAAUGGCAGGUACAGCGGGAAGCCACCUGGUGACAGGGAGCGGAACCCGAAAGCCUGUCUCAGUUCGGAUUGGAGUCUGCAACUCGACUCCAUGAAGCUGGAUUCGCUAGUAAUCGCGCAUCAGCCAUGGCGCGGUGAAUACGUUCCCGGGCCUUGCACACACCGCCCGUCAAG